Molecule: ribosomal RNA, 273 nt
Filed under: uncultured bacterium
Lineage: Bacteria
Description: partial 16S ribosomal RNA
Rfam family: Bacterial small subunit ribosomal RNA
Source: RNAcentral
UACGGAGGGUGCAAGCGUUAUCCGGAAUUACUGGGUUUAAAGGGUGCGUAGGCGGCUUAGUAAGUCAGGGGUGAAAGGCUACGGCUCAACCGUGGAAUUGCCUUUGAUACUGCUGAGCUUGAAUGAGGUUGAGGUGAGCAGAAUGUGGCAUGUAGCGGUGAAAUGCAUAGAUAUGCCAUAGAAUACCGAUUGCGAAGGCAGCUCACUGGACCUGGAUUGACGCUGAGGCACGAAAGCGUGGGGAGCGAACAGGAUUAGAAACCCCCGUAGUCC